GAUGAACGCUGGCGGCGUGCCUAAUACAUGCAAGUCGAGCGGACGGACGAGACGCUUGCUUUUCUGAUGUUAGCGGCGCACGGGUGAGUAACACGUGGAUAACCUACCUCUCAUACUGGGAUAACUUCGGGAAACCGGAGCUAAUACCGGAUAAUCUUUUGAACCGCAUUGUUCCAUAGAGAGAGACGGUCUUGCUGUCACUUCUAGCUGGAUCCGCGCUGCAUUAGCUAGUUGGUAAGGUACAGGCUUACCAAGGCAACGAUGCAUAGCCGACCGCAGAGGGUGAUCGGCCACACUGGAACGGGGCCACGGUCAAGACUCCUACGGGAGGCAGCAGUAGGGAAUCGUCCGCAAUGGGCGAAAGCCUGACGGAGCAACGCCGCGUGAGUGAUGAAGGUCUUCGGAUCGUAAAACUCUGUUAUUAGGGAAGAACAUAUGUGUAAGUAACUGUGCACAGCUUGACGGUAACUAAUCAGAAAGCAACGGCUAACUACGUG
This 497-nucleotide ribosomal RNA is filed under the name uncultured bacterium. RNAcentral describes it as "partial 16S ribosomal RNA". It matches the Rfam family "Bacterial small subunit ribosomal RNA", at positions 28 to 507 of the family's 1533-position model. The record is from RNAcentral.